AAAAGGCCAGAAAUUCACAUCCACAUCAAGAAGAGUCAAAUCUGCAUGAGUAAAACCUGCUUUUUAGUAAAAAUUUGAAAACUGACCCUAAGAGUUGAUUCAGGAAAUUGAAGCUUCUGCUGCCUGCCAGGAGCACAUUGAUGAAUCUUGCUAUGUUACACCUGAGGCUGAAAUGGAUGUAACAGCAGGAAAAAUGCUAGGGAGCUGAAUUGUCAAUGGAAUAACCAGCACUAUGAGGAAAAGUAUGACUACACCCAGCUGCAGAAAUGGAACCUCAGCAGACAUCCUAGGGGCACAGAGGAGAUUUUAAUGAUUAGAAGCAGACAGUAUUAAAGCUAUGAACACAGUUUAGGGAUACUUUAUUAUUGGGAUGCAUGAUCUAAAAUAAGUAAUUCUUUUUUUAAGAGUGGACUCAAUCUAUGUUCCAGGGAAAUAGCUUCCUUGACUGAAGAUUGAAAUGAAGGCCCUGACACUAAGGCACGGCAGAAAUCAGGGGAGAAAGGAGAAGUGUUUUGAACAGAAGUUGCAUAUGGAGGAGUCAUACACCAGCUGAGGCCAGCCUAGAAUCUGAGAUGUGGCUAGAUUCUGAUGAGGAACAAAGACCAUAGACUUAAUUCUGUAUGUAGAUAACAUGAGAGGGAAUUCACAGAUAUGAUUAAGUCAAUCAAAAGUCUUGGGAUGUCCUACAAAUAAACAUCUGGAACUCAUUGGUUCUAUAAUUUUU
Molecule: long non-coding RNA, 724 nt
Filed under: Parus major (Great Tit)
Lineage: Eukaryota; Metazoa; Chordata; Aves; Passeriformes; Paridae
Description: lncRNA (ENSPMJG00000001046.1)
Source: RNAcentral